AAGUCGUAACAAGGUUUCCGUAGGUGAACCUGCGGAAGGAUCAUUAACACGUAUCCAACGUUAAAACAACCCUGUGAACCUUUAUACGAAUUCUCCUGAACCAUGACAGCAGCAAUCCCUGGUAAAUCAUUGUUGAACAGAUUUUGAGUCAGGGACCUCUGCCGAUGAGAAAUACAGUCGGGAUCGAGUUCUUGUAGCAAGUGGCCUGGCAUCUCCAAGCAAUCAGUGUCUGAAAGUGUCAUUGGUUGUGCAAGGAUAGCGCUUCACGAUUCCUGUAGACCGUACACUCGGGCAGGAGCUAUGCCAAAGGGUCCCCAUGCCCCCUAAUAACCCCACAGUUUAAUGUAAAGCUCAAUGUAAUACAUUGGGUAAAAAAACCGAACAACUGUUAACAAUGGAUAUCUUGGUUCUC
This 412-nucleotide unclassified non-coding RNA is filed under the name fungal sp. RNAcentral's name for it is "partial internal transcribed spacer region". The stretch from base 1 to 46 matches the Rfam family "Eukaryotic small subunit ribosomal RNA", at positions 1786 to 1831 of the family's 1831-position model. Lineage: Eukaryota; Fungi. The record is from RNAcentral.